RNAcentral lists this long non-coding RNA (2928 nucleotides) under Canis lupus familiaris (dog). RNAcentral's name for it is "lncRNA (ENSCAFG00030026320.1)". The record is from RNAcentral. Lineage: Eukaryota; Metazoa; Chordata; Mammalia; Carnivora; Canidae.
ACUCUUCUUUGAAAGAGUAGUAGGAGAGUUUAAUACAUGUCGCCAAAGUCGGGAGGCAGAAAUCACUUUGUAAACUAACCAAAAUAUACGUCCCCUCCAAAUUAUCCAUGUCAGAUAAAAAUAUACCAGUCUCUAGAAUAUCCAACGGAAUUGCAAAUAAGGCACUUAGCAUUUUAAAUUCCCAAUGCAUAUUUAUAGAAUACAAUUCUCUUGUCUACCCUUCAAGCCACUCACAUCUGACUCUCUAAGAACUUAACCUGAUCUCCGAUCUUUAAAGAAAAAGAGGUUGGGGGGGGGGGGGGGGGAGAGAAAAAAAAAAAUCCAGAAAGAUCUGUUUACCCUGGAUGGGGCAAGGGAGCCCGGCAUGACGACGGAGGCCCCCGGCACAGCCUGCACCGCAAGGACGCGGAGCGAGCGGGGGUUUCUACGAAGAAUUUCUCCUUUCCCCUGCAAAACACUAACCGUGGGGACCCCUGGAGCCGGCUGCUGCUCCGGGCCGCCUCCGGGACGAGCGCUCGGGGUCGCGAGGGGGCAGCCCCCGCGCCGGCGCGCGCUCGCACACCCGGGGUCCGGGUCCAUCCGCCGCGGCCGGGAGCGAGCCCCGGGGCGCGUGUGUGCGCGCGGGUGUCUGGCCGCGGCCGCCGGUGACCGCGCCGAGCUCCCGGGCCCGCGGCCUCCGAGCGCCGGGACGCGGCGCGGGCUGCGGGGCCUCGGGCCGGAGAAAGGCCCCGGCGCGCCCCGGCUCCCGCGCGCCUCUGCCCAAGUUGCCCCGGAGCGCCGCGCGGAGCGGGAGAAAGGAAGGCGCUUCCCCUCGGCCUCGCGGGUCAGUCCUGCCGCGGACGAGGACGAGGAGGAGGAGGAGGAGGAGGAGGAGAGGAGGAGGAGGAGGAGGCGGCCGCGGCGGCCCGGCUGUCGCUGCGCCGCGCACGGUCCCCGCCGCCCGGGGCGCGCCCUCGCCAGCCCCUCCUGCGAAACUUUUUCUUUUAGGUUCGCCCCACCCGAAAAGUGCGGCCCGGGAGGGGGAGGCGGGCAGCGCGGGUCCGCGGCGGCGGCGGCGGCGGCGGCGGCGGCGGCGGGCGAGGAGGAAGUGGUGCCCGCGGGAGCGCGGACGGGCAGAGGAAAUGCCCGGGCCGCUCGGCCCCCGCCCGCGCCCGCCCGCCCGCCCGCCCGCCCGCCGGCCCCGCGCCCGCGCCCGCGCCCCCGCCCCGCGGCCACUUUGGCGGGCCGAGCCCGGCGCGGCGGCGGCGGCGGCGGCGGCAGCUGUGGCCCGGCCGCCCGGAGGAGCCAACAAUGCGGGGCCGGCAAAACAAAAGGGUUCCACUUCGCCUCCCCUCCUUCUUUCACUUGCGCUCCCGGGGCGCCGCGCGGGAGCCCCGGCCGGCAGGGGCCGCUCCCCCGGGGGCCCCGAGCCGCGCGCGCCCCGGCCUCCCCGCGGACCCCGCUCCGCCCCCGCCCCCGCCCCCGCCCCGCACGCCCAGGCCCCGCGCGCUCGGACUCCCGGUCCCGGGGGAUCCGGCCGUAUUGUCCCCGCGGCGCGCCGCGCGCUCGGCCUGGGUCGCCGCCGGCCCCCGCGCGCGCACCCACCGGCCUCGGGGAGCAGGAGCCGGGGGCGCCUAGGAAACCGUCGCCGAGACGCCGCCGCCCCUCCCACCGCACUUGGAGACAUCUGUGUUCCUGGCUGGGAUCCCUCUGCGUGGGCUGCGGGCAGGCUGAGAUGGCCCGGGCGUGGAGCCCCGGCUCGGCGGGACAGUGGCAGGGGACCUGUCUGGUUGAGGCAGAGCUCAGCCACCCUGCAACCAGGAGUCAGAGCCAGGAAGAACAGCCGGCCUGCGGGAGCCCACCCCUCCCAGCUGCCUCUGGAGCCCUCAGCGUCUCCAGGGUCACCUGCCUGGGGCUCCCCCAAUCUCCCAGCCUCUUGGAGGGUCCUAAACCUCAGGCCAGAGACCGGAGUGAGGGAGGUGACAGAGUGUCUGUGUCCCCGCUCAAGGCCACGCAGCGAUCAGAGCCAGAUCUAAGAUUAGAUUGGGUAGGUUUCUGGCCUCCAGAUACACAGCGAAGCCCCAAACUCAUGCUGUGUCUUGGCAAAGCUCCUUCACGUUCCUCUAACUCAGACCCGCCCUAGUUUGUCUCUGGAAAUAUUGUAGCUGUCAUAAUCAUUGUUCUAAUAAAAUACUCAUCUGACGAUCUAUUAGUAAGGCAUAUUGUUGACAGGAAAUGUGCAUUUGCCAUAUUUCCCAUUAUAUUGUCUAUUUCCUGCCUCAUUUUUCUUGGGAGGGCAGGAGUCACUGGAGAUAAUAGCAUAUUGACAGAGAAAGCAAGGGAAAGAGAUGGUUGAAAGUGGGAGAGCUUAGCUCUGUCCGCCUGCAGAGGUUUCCAGCAGGAAAUCCACACUCAUUUCCUGUCCUCUUGCUAAAAUGGCAUCUGCCCCUUCCUACUCCUUCUCCCAUUAAACAAAUUGUCUCCUGGCCCUGAGAGGCUGACUCCCUGGUCAUAGGAUGGAGGCCCGGCCGGGUGUUUCUGGGGGCUGCAGUGGCAGGGAAAGGGGGGAGAGCUUCUGUAAGAAUCCAGAAGAGACUAUGAAAUGAGCUGUUUCCCUUGUACCACAAUCAACGAGACCUAAUGGAGGCUGGUGGAAUGGGAAGGUAGAAAGAACCCUGUUUUCUAGAAGCUUCUUGCCCACAAUCUGCUGUCUCGAUAUCAAAUGGCAAAUUGUGCAUCACCAGGAAAAAAACAACACUUACUGGUUGUGCAAAACGCAGUGGUGUGAGGGGAAAAUAUUGGUCAGUGGCCCCUUUCAGAGCGCCCACGGGGUGGGUGGGAACGGUUCCGCGGGGUGAUUGAUGGUCCCUCGGCAGCCCCGGCCUGCACUUGGGAAGCUCUGGUUUUGCAGAUCCCCGGCCCUGUGGGUUGUGGGUCCCCGGGAGGGUG